RNAcentral lists this ribosomal RNA (468 nucleotides) under uncultured bacterium. RNAcentral describes it as "partial 16S ribosomal RNA". It matches the Rfam family "Bacterial small subunit ribosomal RNA", at positions 28 to 507 of the family's 1533-position model. The record is from RNAcentral.
GACGAACGCUGGCGGCGUGCUUAACACAUGCAAGUCGAACGGAAAGGCCCUGCUUUUGUGGGGUGCUCGAGUGGCGAACGGGUGAGUAACACGUGAGUAACCUGCCCUUGACUUUGGGAUAACUUCAGGAAACUGGGGCUAAUACCGGAUAGGAGCUCCUGCUGCAUGGUGGGGGGUGGAAAUUUUCGGCGGUUGGGGAUGGACUCGCGGCUUAUCAGCUUGUUGGUGGGGUAGUGGCUUACCAAGGCUUUGACGGGUAGCCGGCCUGAGAGGGUGACCGGCCACAUUGGGACUGAGAUACGGCCCAGACUCCUACGGGAGGCAGCAGUGGGGAAUAUUGCACAAUGGGCGGAAGCCUGAUGCAGGAACGCCGCGUGCGGGAUGACGGCCUUCGGGUUGUAAACCGCUUUCGCCUGUGACGAAGCGUGAGUGACGGUAAUGGGUAAAGAAGCACCGGCUAACUACGUG